UUUGUUUCUCUCCUCCUCUGCACCACAUUCUUUCUUUUCUCUUGUCUUUGACACUUCUCCCCACCUGACUAUACCUCCAGCACAGGGAGGGAGAGAGGUUUCACGAGGCCCCUGAUACCAUCCAUGCUCAGUAAGCUGUCCUUGACUAAUGUGUCAAGAAUUGUACUCUGGGCUGUAUUUGUACCAUUUGCUCUGUGCUAGACUGGAUAGCACUACUAUAGGUUCUCGUCUUGGUCUAGUAACAAUAGGUAAUACUAGUGCUUAAAAAUUAUGGUUGAUGAUUGGGUUAAACUUGCCAUUAUUUUCUAAUAUAGCUCACCAGUGUCGUGUAAUCCCCUCCUGCUCCUGAGACAGGAGCCCUAGUCUGAAGCCUUUUUCUCAUUGGACAUUCGUGCUGGCCUGUGGGUGAUCCCUGUCAAGGCAGACUGUGAUGGCCUUGUUAUCUUUUGUAGGCUUCAUUCUCUGUGCCUCUGAGCAAGUUUCUCUCCAGCAUGAACACAGCCAAGCUGAUCCUGGAAAAAGCCUCCAGGUUGCUGAAGCUCUUCUGGAGGGUCUCUGUCCCCACCAACGGCCAGUGUUCCCUUCACUGUGACCAGAUUGGAGAAAUGAAGGCAGAGAUCACCAAACUACACAAAAAAUUGUUUGAACAAGAAAAGAAGCUGCAGAACACAGCAAAACUUCUGCAGCAGAGCAAGCACCAGGAGAAAAUCAUCUUUGAUCAGUUGGUCAUCACCCACCAAGUCCUUCGGAAAGCCAGGGGAAACCUGGAGCUCAGGCCUAGAGCUGCCCAUCCAGGAACAUCCAGUCCCAGCAGACCGGGCUCAUGAGAAGAGCUUUCAGCUAAUAAAGCUUGUGAUCCUGA
This 862-nucleotide long non-coding RNA is filed under the name Rattus norvegicus (Norway rat). RNAcentral describes it as "long non-coding RNA NONRATT023320". Lineage: Eukaryota; Metazoa; Chordata; Mammalia; Rodentia; Muridae. The record is from RNAcentral.